This 242-nucleotide ribosomal RNA is filed under the name uncultured bacterium. Its description in RNAcentral is "partial 16S ribosomal RNA". It matches the Rfam family "Bacterial small subunit ribosomal RNA", at positions 28 to 253 of the family's 1533-position model. The record is from RNAcentral.
AGUGAACGCUGGCGGCAGGCCUAACACAUGCAAGUCGAGCGGCAGCGGGUCCCCNCGAGGGAGUGCCGGCGAGCGGCGGACGGGUGAGGAACACAUCGGAAUCUGCCUGGUUGUGGGGGAGUAACGUAGGGGAAACUUACGCUAAUACCGCAUGCGACCCUGAGUCGACGGACUUGGGGUGAAAGUGNGGGACCUUCGGCCUCACGCGACCAGAUGAGCCGAUGUCGGANAGUCUAGUUGGC